UUGAAAGGGAAACGAUUGAAGUCAGUCAUAUCAACGGGAAAUCAACCUUUCGAUCAUGGUUUUGGAUUUCAAAAGAGUUGUUAAAACCUUUUGAGGUUUUCAAAGUUAUGUUCUUUUGGUGUACUUUCUCGUAGGUAGGUUAACAUCGAUUUUGAACAUUAUAAAAAGACUGGAGGAAUGUAGCUUCGAUCUCGUAUUGAAGUGUUAUAGCCUUUGGUAAGUGUAAUGGUCAAGAUCGAGGAUUGCAACGAAUACCUUCAUGGGCUAUCCGUCUGAUCUCUGAUACGUGGCCUUGGUAUCGAAAGCUUGCUUAUGGUAUCGAGGUAUUACGGUCAAAAGGUAAGAACGGAUUACAUUCGUUAAGGAUGUUGACGUAAUGACUUUAAACGACCCGUCUUGAAACACGGACCA
Molecule: ribosomal RNA, 411 nt
Filed under: Glomeromycotina sp.
Lineage: Eukaryota; Fungi; Glomeromycota
Description: partial large subunit ribosomal RNA
Source: RNAcentral